UCCCGCCGAAAGGCAGGGGCUACAUGCUCUUUUACUACGGCGUUCUCUCUAGAAGAAUGUCAUAAAAUACAACUCUGACUAGAUACGUAAGUACUGAAGGGGUGGUGAGCAAAGGCGUUGGUGCAAACUGACGUAACAGUAAGAGAGCUAUUCGGG
RNAcentral lists this non-coding RNA (156 nucleotides) under unclassified sequences. RNAcentral describes it as "RT-16 RNA". It matches the Rfam family "RT-16 RNA". Rfam says of the family: candidate division DUSEL4 (Archaea). Nearby to self-splicing intron genes The record is from Rfam by way of RNAcentral.